Long non-coding RNA from Carassius gibelio (silver crucian carp), 598 nucleotides. RefSeq lists it as uncharacterized. The record is from RefSeq and is a predicted model, not a curated record. The transcript has 2 exons. Lineage: Eukaryota; Metazoa; Chordata; Actinopteri; Cypriniformes; Cyprinidae.
CUGGGACCUCCAUAAGCAGCACCGGGAUAGUGUCGUAAAGGGUCUGUGUAUCCGGAGGAAUAUAACGGUAUCUGUCCCAAGAACGACUCCUGUCCUCCGGGCAGAGUCACUGGGAAAGUUGAGUUUACAAAAUAGGAACUCAUUGGGAGGGUAUUGUCUUCUUCGUCGAAAACCCACAGAAUCCACCGAGACAACUGGAUUGCAAUGGACUAAAGUCAACUUUUCUGAAUAUAUCUACGCAAGUUACUUAUUUGGUGAUAAGGACUUAAAGUGAACAAAUUUACACCCAGUUUGGUAUUUUUACACCCAUAUAUAGGUAGCCUACGUGUUUUGAUUUUAAUUUUUUUUGUCAUGUAUUCUAUAACAUUUUGUAAAUGUCCCCGAGUAUGGACCAUAUGUAUGUCAAAUGUGCUUUAAUGAACAUUAUAAAUAGCUACACUUUUCUAGUCAGUUUAUAUAAUGUAGCCUAUAUGGAAAAAAAUAUCGAGGGUUUUUAUUUUCAUUGACUUUUUUAUGGUGAUUUAAAUAUAUAUAUGUAUAUGAAUUUAAAACUGUAUAAAGUAUUUUCAUAUUAAUAAAAUAUAAAGAGCUCACUUGA